CUUAGAGGCACCCGAUGGUUCUAGGAGGAGACAGAGAAUCCGGGAAUCCUCCCAGCCUGGAUCCAGGUCCUUCUUGGGCAGCUCUGUGUGCUCAGAGUGGGGGCAGCUGCAGGACUAAGGUGGCAGCUGAGGUGGGGGUCAAGGUGCAGGUCUCACCUCCUGUCCAUCAUGGGGUCCUCCCUGGGCUCUGGGUCUUAGAGCAGAUCUGUGGGGUGCAAAAUGCAGAGAGGCCUUGGUGUAUCCUCCUGGUCCUCCCAUCAAGAGCAGAACAAGGCAGGGGUAUUGGUGAGGUCACUCAGCCCUCUCCCCAUUAGAUCCAGGCAACUAGCCCACCAACGCCAGGCCACCUCCACCUCCCCAGGGUCCCCUCUAAAGCAUGGCCCCAUCCUACCACAUCACCUCUCGGCCAUCUCCUGAAGGUCAACAGCCCUGGGCCUGAGGAGCAGGGAGGUGGGCAGUCAGUUAAGGAAUGGGCAGGGGUCCUGGUGUCCACCAUGGUCCUCAACACCCCACAGCUCAGCCUGGGGAAGUGGACCUCUCCUCUGCACCAUUCACCCCAUUAGCUCUCAUGAGCCCGUCCUGGCCCCUUUGGACCUGGGUUUGAUGGAGCACCAGUGACAGUUAGCACAGAGGACAGUGCCAGGGAGACCAGCUACCCCACGUCCACUGAGGGAGUCAGCUUGGUGGCCAUCCUGGAGGACCUGCUGCGUCUGUCACAGCACACCCCUGAGCACCUGUGCUGGUGGCUGUGUGAGGGGACCACAGUGGCCUGCAGCGUGUGCUGGCUCCUGAGUCCCCAGCCCUCAACCCCCAGCCACUCUCUCUAUUCCAAGAGGCACCCCCAGGUCCAGGAGCAGUGGGCACCUCUGUGCAAUCAGGGAGCCAGGAAGGGACGUGGACGUCUAGCCCAGGUCCACCCACACUCCAAGUGCUCUUUGCUGGUGCCCUGGGAAGAGGCGGAGAUUCUGGCCAGAGCAGGAAGGUCGUCCAUCUCCUGUGGCUGAGCAGUUCCCUGGGAAAGCACUUGUGUUGGCCAAAACCACAACCUGGGCCUUGAGGAUUCAGGUUGUGUUCCUGAAUCAUGUGGCCCAGACAGAAAGACAUGACCCAUGCCCACAUGGACUCUGCCCUCCCAGGGCUCUGCCUGUCCCUAGUGUUGGCCGUGGCAGGUCACCCUGGGCUCCUCAGGGCAUGACCUCAGCUUCCCAGGGCUCCCUCCUCUGGCCUGGGCUCUGGAGGCCCAAUGUCUUCAGGGGGGACUUUCCACCAUGUCCUCUGCUGCCUCCCCCCCCCCCAGGGCACAGCAGGGACAGGAGGUGGGUGAAUUGGGGCCACACUGGGGCCAGGAUGCAGGAGCUGAACAAAGCUGCAAAGUGAGCAGGAUGUGGUCACAGGACCUUCACACCCUGCAGGGUUGCUGCCUCCUCCCCACAGCAAGGUGACCAGCUCCUCUCCCCAGCGAGGGCCGGGAGUGGGCAGCUGCAGAUGAGACCUGGGUGCAGCACAGGCCCCUCCCAGGCCGUGCUCGGCCCUCACAGAGCCCCUGGGUGGACACUGCUAGCCCACUGUGGCCAUGCAGCACCCACACAGACAUUCAUCACGUCUCUCCACCUUUCCUGGGUCUAUGCAACUUGUCCUGGGCACCAGGCCCCAGGCACAUGAACACGGAGUCAGUACUCACACAGGAUCGUGUAGAAGUAAAGCAAGUCCUCUACUCCUCACCUGUGUGCUCUUCAUCAACAAUUCCCGUUUAGCAGAGGCUGGGUGACCUGGGCCUGCCCCACAUCCACCGUGUCCUGGGGUCAUUUUCACCUUCCCAUCACGUUCCCCGUGCACCUGGAGCCCGCCCCUGUGCUCCUGGGUUCAGCUCUGGUCACUCUGUCCUUGACCUUAGUGGGCUUCAGUCCUUUCAUCUCUUUCCCGCACCUGGGGCUGACCUCAGGCCCUGCACGAGGACUUGGGUAGGCGAGUGCUCUACCGCGAGCCACGUCCCAGCCCUGUGACUUUUCUCUAAGGUUCCCAGGGUGGCCUCAAACCUGGGAUCCUCCUGCUCAGUUUGUACAGCCCCUGGGAUUACAG
RNAcentral lists this long non-coding RNA (2079 nucleotides) under Marmota monax (woodchuck). The record is from RNAcentral. Lineage: Eukaryota; Metazoa; Chordata; Mammalia; Rodentia; Sciuridae.